GCCUGUGGCCUAGUGGGCAAGGUUACUGUCUUGGGAACACGGGAUCGUAGGUUCAAGCCCAGCUAGGAACA
RNAcentral lists this transfer RNA (71 nucleotides) under Anguilla anguilla (European eel). RNAcentral's name for it is "tRNA-OTHER". Lineage: Eukaryota; Metazoa; Chordata; Actinopteri; Anguilliformes; Anguillidae. The record is from RNAcentral.